AUUUGACCGCCGCCGGGUGGUUUACUUUAGAGAGCGCAGGCUCACAUCGUUAGGCCUUAGAAGAUGUGAGGUCAGGCGCUUUUCGUAU
This 88-nucleotide non-coding RNA is filed under the name unclassified sequences. The record is from RNAcentral.